Molecule: long non-coding RNA, 524 nt
Filed under: Monodelphis domestica (gray short-tailed opossum)
Lineage: Eukaryota; Metazoa; Chordata; Mammalia; Didelphimorphia; Didelphidae
Description: lncRNA (ENSMODG00000040689.1)
Source: RNAcentral
AUAAAAGUAGUAAUCCUGAUAGUGAUGGUUAUAUUCAAAAUCUAAGGGGAUUGUGGGGGAUGAUGGAAGCCAACACACACACACACACACACACACACACACACACACACACACAGGAGAAUAAGGAAGAAAGCAGAAUUUGGGAAUCCAGGAACUUCCUCAGUGUGAGAGGAAUGAAGAAGAGGAAAUGUCCAUCUUUUUUUAAACAUGAUCUAGGAAGUAGGAAGAAGUUAAUAGAAUGUCUGAAGUGUGUGCAGCUGCAUUGGGGCCUGGAGACAAUGAGCACUCUGCAGAGAAUAUUCAGCCUGCAUCUCACGCUGGAGGAAAGAAAGAAAACAACUUGCUUUGACACCACAGUUGAUAGCAUCAGUGCAGCUCAAGUACAGACCCUUUCAUUUGCAGAAAUCAGAUCUCAGAGGAGGUUGAGAAGAUUCUUCCUUGAAAUUCUUGGUCUUGCUAGCAAGCAUAGCUAAACAGAGGCACCAAGGAGAUCAUUCCAAGACUAAAGACAGCAUCAGUGUGAC